RNAcentral lists this ribosomal RNA (484 nucleotides) under uncultured bacterium. RNAcentral describes it as "partial 16S ribosomal RNA". It matches the Rfam family "Bacterial small subunit ribosomal RNA", at positions 30 to 507 of the family's 1533-position model. The record is from RNAcentral.
AUUGAACGCUGGCGGCAGGCCUAACACAUGCAGGUCGAGCGGAUGAAGGGAGCUUGCUCCUGGAUUCAGCGGCGGACGGGUGAGUAAUGCCUAGGAAUCUGCCUGGUAGUGGGGGAUAACGUCCGGAAACGGGCGCUAAUACCGCAUACGUCCUGAGGGAGAAAGUGGGGGAUCUUCGGACCUCACGCUAUCGGAUGAGCCUAGGUCGGAUUAGCUAGUUGGUGGGGUAAAGGCCUACCAAGGCGACGAUCCGUAACUGGUCUGAGAGGAUGAUCAGUCACACUGGAACUGAGACACGGUCCAGACUCCUACGGGAGGCAGCAGUGGGGAAUAUUGGACAAUGGGCGAAAGCCUGAUCCAGCCAUGCCGCGUGUGUGAAGAAGGUCUUCGGAUUGUAAAGCACUUUAAGUUGGGAGGAAGGGCAGUAAGUUAAUACCUUGCUGUUUCGACGUUACCAACAGAAUAAGCACCGGCUAACUUCGUG